UAAUCAGAAGGCGAUGAGGUUCGCCGAAAACCGCCCAAGAUAAGUUGGGAUAAUAACCUCUACUGAAAA
This 69-nucleotide non-coding RNA is filed under the name Bacteroidota bacterium. Its description in RNAcentral is "Bacteroidetes bacterium Fluoride sequence". It matches the Rfam family "Fluoride riboswitch aptamer (crcB RNA motif)". Lineage: Bacteria; Pseudomonadati; Bacteroidota. The record is from RNAcentral.